AAUAGAUACCCUGGUAGUCCACGCCCUAAACGAUGUGCACUAGAUCCUGGAGGUGCUGACACCCUCAGGGUCGAAGCAAAAGUGUUAAGUGCACCGCCUGGGGAGUACGGUCGCAAGGCUAAAACUCAAAGGAAUUGACGGGGGCUCACACAAGCGGUGGAGCAUGUGGCUUAAUUCGAGGCAACGCGAAGAACCUUAUCCUGGGCUUGACAUGCACGGAUUAACUUCCUGAAAGGGAAGCCACGCUCUUUGAGUGGAACGUGCACAGGUGCUGCAUGGCUGUCGUCAGCUCGUGCUGUGAAGUGUCGGGUUAAGUCCCUUAACGAGCGAAACCCCUGCCGUUAGUUGCUAACAGGUAACGCUGAGGACUCUAGCGGGACUGCCGGUGUCAAACCGGAGGAAGGUGGGGAUGACGUCAAGUCCUCAUGGCCUUUAUGCCCAGGGCUGCACACGUGCUACAAUGGCGACCACAGAGCGAUGCAAUGCCGUAAGGUGGAGCAAAUCGCAAAAAAGUCGCCCCGU
RNAcentral lists this ribosomal RNA (522 nucleotides) under uncultured bacterium. RNAcentral describes it as "bacterial SSU rRNA". It matches the Rfam family "Bacterial small subunit ribosomal RNA", at positions 777 to 1291 of the family's 1533-position model. The record is from RNAcentral.